RNAcentral lists this long non-coding RNA (1078 nucleotides) under Phascolarctos cinereus (koala). Its description in RNAcentral is "lncRNA (ENSPCIG00000036500.1)". The record is from RNAcentral. Lineage: Eukaryota; Metazoa; Chordata; Mammalia; Diprotodontia; Phascolarctidae.
UCCAGACUUGCCUCAGCUCAGAAUGUGUCAAUCACCUAUGAAGACAGCCAGGCUGGGAAAUUUCACAACCUUACAAUGACUUUAACCCCCCCUGUCUUUAACACAACCUUCUCCUGCCUAGCCCUCCCUCUGUCCCCAUGCUUUCUCUUCCUUUCCCCCAAUCCUCUCCUCUUCCCUAGUGAUAGUUAAAAGACCAGUGAUUUGGAGGCAGAGAAUUUUAUCAAUUACCCAUUGGGUGCCAAGCACUGAGCUUAGCAUACAAACAAAGAUGGGAAGGGAGUGAAUGAUUGUACCAAGUACUUUUUUAAAAAAUGAAUUUAUUUUUAGUUUUCAACAAUCACUUCCAGGAGCUUUUGAGUUUUAAAUUUCCUCCCCCUCCAUCUGUACCUCCCUUCCCCAGAUGGUGUGCAAUCUGAUAUAGGCUAUACAUAUACAUUCCUAUCAAACAUAUUUUCACGUUAGCCAUGCUGUAAGGAAAAAUUUGAACCAGUAGGAAGAACCACAAGAAAGAAGAAAGAAAACAAAACAGAAGAAAAACAAAAGAGUAAAUGGUCGACAUUAAUGGGACUGUGACGUCAGAUGGCACUGAAGGAAUGGGAGCAGACACCAGCCCAUCCUGGCAAUGCUUAGUGACUCAGGCGCCUCAGGGUCCAUUUUUUUCCCUGGACUCCUAACCUUGAUGGCGUCGGAGGCUGUGGUCCUGAUGGGGACUCCCUUCUCUGACCUUACCUUCAUUGGGACUUGUCCCUUUGAAUCUGCAAUCUCAGGGACACUCUGAGGAAGGCUCACAGGAUCCAGUUACACUAUCACGUCUUCGAUCCUUGCAAAUUCCCCAACUCCUUUUCCUCAGAAUAAGAACAGCCAACUCAUGUUGGGAGUUUUCUAACAAGCCUCUAAUUCCUUCUCUCUCUGUCUUUAAGUGUGCACUACGUCACACUACGUUUGUAUUGUAUUUGUCUGUCAGUGUGUGUCUGUGUAUCUGUACCUUAUAAGAUAUAAAACGCAGGCAGCCAGAGACUUCUAAGGGCUGCAGCUAAGGAAACAAUAAACCUGUAGAACUCCUUUCUUUGUGGGUCCA